Molecule: small nuclear RNA, 134 nt
Filed under: Neogale vison (American mink)
Lineage: Eukaryota; Metazoa; Chordata; Mammalia; Carnivora; Mustelidae
Description: Neovison vison (American mink) U4 spliceosomal RNA (ENSNVIG00000007910.1)
Rfam family: U4 spliceosomal RNA
About the family: U4 small nuclear RNA (U4 snRNA) is a component of the major U2-dependent spliceosome. The structure of U4 snRNA from yeast and human has been reported.
Source: RNAcentral
AGCUUUGCGCAGUGGCAGUAUCGUAGCCAAUGAGGUUUAUCCGAGGUGCGAUUAUUGCUAAUUGAAAACUUUUCUCUUUCCAAAUAAGUAGAUUCUACCUAUGAAGUACUGUACUGUUUAACUGCUUCCCCAAC